GUGUCAGCCGCCGCGGUAAUACGAAGGGGGCUAGCGUUACUCGGAAUGACUGGGCGUAAAGGGCGCGUAGGCGGUUUGGUUUGUUAGGCGUGAAAUUCCUGGGCUUAACCUGGGGUCUGCGUUUAAUACGGCCAGGCUUGAGUGUGAAAGAGGGUCGUGGAAUUCCCAGUGUAGAGGUGAAAUUCGUAGAUAUUGGGAAGAACACCGGUGGCGAAGGCGGCGACCUGGUUCAUUACUGACGCUGAGGCGCGAAAGCGUGGGGAGCAAACAGGAUUAGAUACCCUGGUAGUCCACGCCGUAAACGAUGUGUGCUGGAUGUUGGGCAACCUAGUUGCUCAGUGUCGUAGCUAACGCGAUAAGCACACCGCCUGGGGAGUACGGCCGCAAGGUUGAAACUUAAAUGAAUUGACGGGG
Molecule: ribosomal RNA, 414 nt
Filed under: uncultured prokaryote
Description: bacterial SSU rRNA
Rfam family: Bacterial small subunit ribosomal RNA
Source: RNAcentral